UCCUCUGUGGCGCGAUUGGCUAGCGCGUCUGACUGUUAACUAUUCUGACACGGAACAGAAUCAUCAGGAGGUUGGAAGAUUGAGCCUUCCCGGAGGAG
This is a non-coding RNA of Podospora fimiseda, 98 nucleotides long. The record is from the annotation of a GenBank genome assembly. Lineage: Eukaryota; Fungi; Ascomycota; Sordariomycetes; Sordariales; Podosporaceae.